Phytophthora nicotianae (black shank of tobacco agent) is the source of this 81-nucleotide transfer RNA. It matches the Rfam family "tRNA". From Rfam's summary of the family: Transfer RNA (tRNA) molecules are approximately 80 nucleotides in length. Their secondary structure includes four short double-helical elements and three loops (D, anti-codon, and T loops). Further hydrogen bonds mediate the characteristic L-shaped molecular structure. tRNAs have two regions of fundamental functional importance: the anti-codon, which is responsible for specific mRNA codon recognition, and the 3' end, to which the tRNAs corresponding amino acid is attached (by aminoacyl-tRNA synthetases). tRNAs cope with the degeneracy of the genetic code in two manners: having more than one tRNA (with a specific anti-codon) for a particular amino acid; and 'wobble' base-pairing, i.e. permitting non-standard base-pairing at the 3rd anti-codon position. Lineage: Eukaryota; Oomycota; Peronosporomycetes; Peronosporales; Peronosporaceae. The record is from Rfam.
GACAGCUUGGCCGAGUGGUUAAGGCGAUAGACUAGAANUCUAUUGGGGUAACCCGCGUGAGUUCAAAUCUCACAGCUGUCG